RNAcentral lists this transfer RNA (31 nucleotides) under Inga umbratica. RNAcentral's name for it is "partial tRNA-His". Lineage: Eukaryota; Viridiplantae; Streptophyta; Magnoliopsida; Fabales; Fabaceae. The record is from RNAcentral.
AUGUAGCCAAGUGGAUCAAGGCAGUGGAUUU